UUUCCGUAGGUGAACCUGCGGAAGGAUCAUUACUGAGUUUUGGGUUAUCUUCUCGAUACCCGAUCUCCCACCCUUUGUUUAACUACAAUUUGUUGCUUUGGCAGGACUGUCCUGUUUCUUUUUCGGAGGAGACUUGACUGCCGGAGGACGGUUUCACGACCACCUCUGGAUUGAUUUGCCUGUCAAUAGCCAAUUGAAAAUUCUUUUUUAAUUAUGUCGUCUGACUUCUUUAAAUAAAUUUUUAUUUAAAACUUUCAACAACGGAUCUCUUGGUUCUGGCAUCGAUGAAGAACGCAGC
This 298-nucleotide unclassified non-coding RNA is filed under the name uncultured fungus. RNAcentral's name for it is "sequence contains ITS1, 5.8S rRNA gene". The stretch from base 250 to 298 matches the Rfam family "5.8S ribosomal RNA", at positions 1 to 49 of the family's 154-position model. The record is from RNAcentral. Lineage: Eukaryota; Fungi.